GACGAACGCUGGCGGCGUGCUUAACACAUGCAAGUCGAACGGAAAGGCCCUGCUUUUGUGGGGUGCUCGAGUGGCGAACGGGUGAGUAACACGUGAGUAACCUGCCCUUGACUUUGGGAUAACUUCAGGAAACUGGGGCUAAUACCGGAUAGGAGCUCCUGCUGCAUGGGGGGGGUUGGAAAGUUUCGGCGGUUGGGGAUGGACUCGCGGCUUAUCAGCUUGUUGGUGGGGUAGUGGCGUACCAAGGCUUUGACGGGUAGCCGGCCUGAGAGGGUGACCGGCCACAUUGGGACUAAGAUACGGCCCAGAAUCCUACGGGAGGCAGUAGUGGGGAAUAUUGCACAAUGGGCGGAAGCCUGAUGCAGCAACGCCGCGUGCGGGAUGACGGCCUUCGGGUUGUAAACCGCUUUCGCCUGUGACGAAGCGUGAGUGACGGUAAUGGGUAAAGAAGCACCGGCUAACUACGUG
Molecule: ribosomal RNA, 468 nt
Filed under: uncultured bacterium
Lineage: Bacteria
Description: partial 16S ribosomal RNA
Rfam family: Bacterial small subunit ribosomal RNA
Source: RNAcentral